This 484-nucleotide ribosomal RNA is filed under the name uncultured bacterium. Its description in RNAcentral is "partial 16S ribosomal RNA". It matches the Rfam family "Bacterial small subunit ribosomal RNA", at positions 28 to 507 of the family's 1533-position model. The record is from RNAcentral.
GAUGAACGCUGGCGGCGGGCCUAACACAUGCAAGUCGAGCGGAUGAAGGGAGCUUGCGCCUGGCUUAAGCGGCGGGCGGGCGAGUAAUGCAUAGGAGUCUGACUGGCCGUGGGGGAUGACGUCCGGAAACGAGAGCUGAUACAGCAUACGACCUGAGGGAGAACGGGGGGGAUCUUUGGACAUAACGCGAUCUGAUGAGCCUAGGUCGGAUUAGCUAGUUGGUGGGGUAAAGGCCUACCAAGGCGACGAUCCGUAACUGGCCUGAGAGGGUGAUCAGUCACACUGGAACUGAGACACGGUCCAGACUCCUACGGGAGGCAGCAGUGGGGAAUCUUGGACAAUGGGCGAAAGCCUGACCCAGCCAUGCCGCGUGUGUGAAGAAGGUCUUCGGAUCGUAAAGCACUUUAAGUUGGGAGGAACGGCAGUAAGUUAAUACCUUGCUGUUUUGACGUUACCAACAGAAUAAGCACCGGCUAACUACGUG